This is a long non-coding RNA of Photinus pyralis (common eastern firefly), 1253 nucleotides long. RefSeq lists it as uncharacterized. Lineage: Eukaryota; Metazoa; Arthropoda; Insecta; Coleoptera; Lampyridae. The record is from RefSeq and is a predicted model, not a curated record. The transcript has 3 exons.
CAUACGUUUUUGGGGCCAAGUGACACAAUAGUAAGGAAAAAAAUGAGAUCUGAUAUGGUAGAAACGUGAUUUGUCAUAUAUCGGCGGAAAUGGCGCCAAAUAUUUACUUUUCCACAAAUUGAGAUGUUUCCGAACGAAACAUAAACUUGUUUUACUAUAAACAUGUCAAUGUUCCGGAAGCAGGAACCACUUCCCAAAGGGAAGAGACUUUUCACGGGAGCACCAUCUCAGGCCAUCACCUGUCAAACUGUACAAAGUUGGUGGAAAACUGAAACGACAGUUCGAAGGGCCACGUCGUAUCUUUGGGGAUGCCUUUAUAAAUAAAACAUGUUGUAAAAUGAGUAUGAUCGAUCGAUGGGCUUGAUUAGUUGAUUUCUGGUAUCCAACCAUUAACAUAUUAAAAACACACACCUAAAAAUUUAUGUUUAGAUAACAAAUACAAAUAUCUAGAAUGAUAAGCAGUAGCUUUAUUUGUACUAAAUACUGAAGGGCGCAGUACUAAAGUAGGCCUCCGCUUAUUGUCUGUGCUAAACAUAGCAGCAACUAGUUUGUGUUGUCUACAUACUAUGGCAUAAGUAAACAUUCAGAUUAAUACUUUUCUUAUCAAUCAUUCGACAUACCUAAGUGAUAAAGUAUAACUUCCAAGUAUGCAAAAACUGGCAAAACUCUGGGUAAGUGACUUACCUUCUAAACUUGAACAUACCCUACAGAUUUAAAACUUUAAGUGAAAAAAGGAAGCAUUGCCACAUAUGAUAUAAGUGAAGAUUGAACAUUGUGGCUGUUGUUGUUCAACUAUGUCCAGUAGUAGCCCUACAAUGGUUUUAACCGAAAACCAGUUAAAGGCGCUUAAAGAAUUUCUGGGACAAGCGGGCGAUUAUUGUAUAUCCUUUUCAUCGGGAGUAGACGAGGGUGAAAAUUUCUGUGGAAUUAUAAUAAAGACCGAUGUAAAGUGGAAGGAGGGAAAUAAGGAAUCAACCUGUCAUUACAUUAUAAAGUGUACUCCACCAAGUGAAUCUUAACAAAGGCUAAUACCCGUGCAAACCGCCUUCAUAAUUGAAACAUACGUGUAUUCGAGAGUACUUAAGGAGUUCAAUAUAAUUCAACGGGAAUAUAACAUCAGAAAACCGUUGGAUUGUUUCCCAGUUUACUAUACGUCUUUAUCCACCCCAAAAGAACAAAUGAUAGUAUUGCAAAACGUAAAGGAACUAGGAUAUAGGCAUUACGAUCGAUUUCAACCUCUAGACUAGCCAGGU